RNAcentral lists this ribosomal RNA (486 nucleotides) under uncultured bacterium. Its description in RNAcentral is "partial 16S ribosomal RNA". It matches the Rfam family "Bacterial small subunit ribosomal RNA", at positions 30 to 507 of the family's 1533-position model. The record is from RNAcentral.
CUUGAACGCUGGCGGCAUGCCUUACACAUGCAAGUCGAACGGCAGCACGGGUGCUUGCCCCUGGUGGCGAGUGGCGAACGGGUGAGUAAUACAUCGGAACAUGUCCUGUAGUGGGGGAUAGCCCGGCGAAAGCCGGAUUAAUACCGCAUACGAUCUACGGAUGAAAGCGGGGGACCUUCGGGCCUCGCGCUAUCGGGUUGGCCGAUGGCUGAUUAGCUAGUUGGUGGGGUAAAGGCCUACCAAGGCGACGAUCAGUAGCUGGUCUGAGAGGACGACCAGCCACACUGGGACUGAGACACGGCCCAGACUCCUACGGGAGGCAGCAGUGGGGAAUUUUGGACAAUGGGCGAAAGCCUGAUCCAGCAAUGCCGCGUGUGUGAAGAAGGCCUUCGGGUUGUAAAGCACUUUUGUCCGGAAAGAAAUCCUUGGCCCUAAUACGGUCGGGGGAUGACGGUACCGGAAGAAUAAGCACCGGCUAACUACGUG